RNAcentral lists this ribosomal RNA (410 nucleotides) under uncultured bacterium. RNAcentral describes it as "bacterial SSU rRNA". It matches the Rfam family "Bacterial small subunit ribosomal RNA", at positions 355 to 774 of the family's 1533-position model. The record is from RNAcentral.
UCGAGGAUCUUCGUCAAUGGGCGCAAGCCUGAACGAGCGACGCCGCGUGGAGGAUGAAGGCCUUCGGGUUGUAAACUCCUGUCGAGGGGGAGGAAGGGGUAACCUUGACCGAUCCCUGGAGGAAGCACGGGCUAAGUUCGUGCCAGCAGCCGCGGUAAGACGAACCGUGCGAACGUUAUUCGGAAUCACUGGGCUUAAAGCGCGUGUAGGCGGGCGGGUACGUCGGCCACUGAAAGCCCCCGGCUCAACCGGGGAAGUGGUGCCGAAACGGCCGGCCUGGAGGGGCGUAGGGGGACCUGGAACUUCCGGUGGAGCGGUGAAAUGCGUUGAGAUCGGAAGGAACGCCCGUGGCGAAAGCGAGGUCCUGGACGCCAUCUGACGCUGAGACGCGAAAGCCAGGGGAGCGAACG